This 130-nucleotide ribosomal RNA is filed under the name Escherichia coli. RNAcentral describes it as "partial 16S ribosomal RNA". It matches the Rfam family "Bacterial small subunit ribosomal RNA", at positions 1 to 121 of the family's 1533-position model. RNAcentral also lists the same sequence under 1 other name. The record is from RNAcentral. Lineage: Bacteria; Pseudomonadati; Pseudomonadota; Gammaproteobacteria; Enterobacterales; Enterobacteriaceae.
UUAAAUUGAAGAGUUUGAUCAUGGCUCAGAUUGAACGCUGGCGGCAGGCCUAACACAUGCAAGUCGAACGGUAACAGGAAGAAGCUUGCUUCUUUGCUGACGAGUGGCGGACGGGUGAGUAAUGUCUGGG